GCGACCGAUUCCAAGGUUGUGGAUGCCCAGGCGGGCCUUGAAAGCGGCGUCACUGCCAUGAUCGGUGCCUUGAGCGGCAUCAACAUGAUUUCAGGCUCGG
This is a non-coding RNA of Chloroflexi bacterium RBG_16_56_8, 100 nucleotides long. NCBI's taxonomy places the organism in Bacteria, Bacillati, Chloroflexota. The record is from Rfam.